GUGCAAUUCAACGUAAUCUGAUUAAUAAAAUUUACUUUUGUAAUAAAUAAUUUUGUAAAUUUAAUAGAAUUAUCUAGUAUGUUAUUGUAAUAAUUAAAGAUAAAAUCUUUUUAGUAAUAGUUAAAUUUUACUGUGAAGGAUAUAUGAAAUAUUUUGAUUAAGUGAAAAAGUUAAUAUAAAUUUUGUACCUUGUGUAUCAGGGUUAAUUAAUAAAUAAUUAUAUAUUUAUAAUUCUCGAUUUUAUUAGAGUUAAUUAAUUGUAAUAGUUAAUGUUAAAUAAUUAUUAUUAACAGUUAAUUAGUAAUGAAAUGUUAAUCGUUGAUAAAGAUAUCUAGUUUUUAAGGAAAUAAAUUUAAUUUAUAUUUUUAUUUUAAUUAUUUACGUUGUAAAAAAAUUUUAUUAAAAAUAAUUAAUUUAGGGGAUUAGCUCUUUAUUAAAAUAUUAUAAGGAUAAAAUUAUAUUAAGAUUUUAUAAUUUUAAUAUUAAUUAUUAAUGAAAGUAUGUUGAAAUUUUACUUUAAUUAAUAUUUAUUUUUUUUUCUUUAAUUUUUUACUUAAAUUUUAUAUCUAAUUUAUAUUUGUUUGGAAUAAUGAUUAAAUUAGUAUAAAUAUAUUAUUUAAGUACAGUUAAUUUAAGGAAUUAGGCAAAAAAGAAAAAUUAUUCGCUUAACAAAAACAUCUUUUCUUGUUAGAUUUAAGAAGUAUAACCUGUCCAACGAAUUAUUAAAUGGCCGCGGUAUUUUGACCGUGCAAAGGUAGCAUAAUCAAUAGUCUUUUAAUUGAAGGCUGGAAUGAAUGGUUGGACGAAAUAAUUACUGUCUUAGAAUUAUUAAAUUAGAAUUUAAUUAUUAAGUUAAAAAGCUUAAAUUUUUUUUUGGGACGAGAAGACCCUAUAGAGUUUAAUAUUAAUAAGAUUUAUAAGUUGUUAUUUAAUAUAAUAAAUUAUAUUAAUAUUUAGUUGGGGUGACUAGAAGAUAAAAAUAACUCUUUAAUAAUCAUAUAUAAAUUACUUAAUUUAUUAAUGAUCCAAUAUUAUUGAUUAUAAGACUAAAUUACCUUAGGGAUAACAGCGUAAUUUUCUUUAAGAGUUCAAAUCAACAAGGAAGUUUGCGACCUCGAUGUUGGAUUAAGAAAUAUAUUUGGUGCAGAAGCUGAAAAUAUAAAGUCUGUUCGACUUUUAAAUUCUUACAUGAUCUGAGUUCAAACCGGUGUAAGCCAGGUUGGUUUCUAUCUAAUAAUAAUAUUUAAUCUUUAGUACGAAAGGACCAAGUUUUAAAAAAUAAUUUUUUAAUAUUGAUUAUAUUUAAUAACUAUUUUGGCAGAUAAGUGCAUUAGAUUUAGAAUCUAUAAAAGUAGAAUAUUACUACAU
RNAcentral lists this ribosomal RNA (1368 nucleotides) under Schultesia lampyridiformis. RNAcentral's name for it is "16S ribosomal RNA". The stretch from base 1062 to 1221 matches the Rfam family "Archaeal large subunit ribosomal RNA", at positions 2542 to 2701 of the family's 2987-position model. The record is from RNAcentral. Lineage: Eukaryota; Metazoa; Arthropoda; Insecta; Blattodea; Blaberidae.